CAAUAGCGUAUAUUAACGUUGUUGCAGUUAAAAAGCUCGUAGUUGGAUUUCUGGAGGGAGCGUCGGCCCGUAUUUACGAGUGCGUGACGUCUCUGUCCAUCCUUGCGGGAAGGCACGGCAUUGAUUUGUUGUGUCGGAUCGCAUCAUUUACUGUGAAAAAAUUAGAGUGUUCAAAGCAGGCUUUCGCUUGAAUACAUUAGCAUGGAAUAAUAAGAUAGGACUUUGGUGCUAUUUUGUUGGUUGAGCCUAAAGUAAUGAUUAAUAGGGAUAGUUGGGGGCACCUGUAUUGCGUUGUCAGAGGUGAAAUUCUUGGAUUUACUCAAGACAAACAGCUGCGAAAGCGUCUGCCAAGGAUGUUUUCAUUAA
Molecule: ribosomal RNA, 366 nt
Filed under: uncultured eukaryote
Lineage: Eukaryota
Description: partial 18S ribosomal RNA
Rfam family: Eukaryotic small subunit ribosomal RNA
Source: RNAcentral